UUUUCGACGCAAAAUUCUAAAUACUUUAUAUAGAUUUUGCAACAAUUGCCGAGCAUGCGUAUAAAUCAUGUUGGAAAUUCAAAGUGAAUCAAUUCGAUUUAUCCAGAGCUAUGCCCACCCUUAACCUGCGAACGGGCAUGCUCGGGGAACGAGAUUGGGGCCUUUCUCGCUGACUAUCCAACCGCUGAAGCAAAAAGCCCUGGGUACGAGGUUGGCUAGAUAUAUAACAUAGAUGUUUGGUAUCAUGGUAAGUGCUUCAUGUCGACUGCAAAUUCAUUUGUUUUUCGUUGUGAAUUUUUCUUAACAAUAUAUAUUCUCAAUCGCCAUGCCUUUUCGCUGUUGUUUCUGUAUUAAUUCUUUAAAAACCUUUUAAACCAACUACGUAAUAAAUCUAUUUUGCUAACCCGUCAAAAUGGUUUGAGAGGUUUUUCUCACACGUUUAUCUUUCUUGAAACGAAUAUUUUCCUGCUAAAACUCUUGUAGUUUUUGUGCCGCCAUCUUGUUUUUCGCUACUCGCCAUAUAUGAGUUGAUAUACAGCGAGUAGUUCAACCAAUCAGAUUGAAGAAUAGCUUAUACGGUGGAUGGCUAUAGUAUAUGACUUUAUUUGUAUGUUCAUCUUGUUUUAGUUUCCAUGUGGACCUGAUGACAAUAUAUGACAAUUACAUCCAUUCCGUGGUAAUGACAUGGACGAAUGAUGGAGGAGUUUUUGAAUUAAUCAUCGAUGGCAUAUUACAAUCGAGUCUGACUGGGAUUGAAGCUGAUGGCAUAAUAUCUGCUCGAAGUCGAUUUAUCAUUGGUGGUUCUGACGUUGAGAAAAAAAACUUG
Paramuricea clavata is the source of this 826-nucleotide non-coding RNA. The record is from the annotation of a GenBank genome assembly. NCBI's taxonomy places the organism in Eukaryota, Metazoa, Cnidaria, Anthozoa, Malacalcyonacea, Plexauridae.